RNAcentral lists this ribosomal RNA (769 nucleotides) under bacterium. RNAcentral describes it as "bacterial SSU rRNA". It matches the Rfam family "Bacterial small subunit ribosomal RNA", at positions 39 to 820 of the family's 1533-position model. The record is from RNAcentral.
CCGUCGAUCCCAGCGUACAUGUAGCCGUAGAGUGAGCCCAGCUUGCUGGGUGGAUUAGUGGCGAACGGGUGAGUAACACGUGAGCAACCUGCCCCUGACUCUGGGAUAAGCGCUGGAAACGGUGUCUAAUACUGGAUAUGUCCCGUCACCGCAUGGUGUGCGGGUGGAAAGAUUUUUCGGUUGGGGAUGGGCUCGCGGCCUAUCAGCUUGUUGGUGAGGUAAUGGCUCACCAAGGCGUCGACGGGUAGCCGGCCUGAGAGGGUGACCGGCCACACUGGGACUGAGACACGGCCCAGACUCCUACGGGAGGCAGCAGUGGGGAAUAUUGCACAAUGGGCGGAAGCCUGAUGCAGCAACGCCGCGUGAGGGAUGACGGCCUUCGGGUUGUAAACCUCUUUUAGCAGGGAAGAAGCGAGAGUGACGGUACCUGCAGAAAAAGCACCGGCUAACUACGUGCCAGCAGCCGCGGUAAUACGUAGGGUGCAAGCGUUAUCCGGAAUUAUUGGGCGUAAAGAGCUCGUAGGCGGUCUGUCGCGUCUGCUGUGAAAUUCCGAGGCUCAACCUCGGGCUUGCAGUGGGUACGGGCAGACUAGAGUGCGGUAGGGGAGAUUGGAAUUCCUGGUGUAGCGGUGGAAUGCGCAGAUAUCAGGAGGAACACCGAUGGCGAAGGCAGAUCUCUGGGCCGUAACUGACGCUGAGGAGCGAAAGGGUGGGGAGCAAACAGGCUUAGAUACCCUGGUAGUCCACCCCGUAAACGUUGGGAACUAGU